Molecule: long non-coding RNA, 803 nt
Filed under: Bos taurus (domestic cattle)
Lineage: Eukaryota; Metazoa; Chordata; Mammalia; Artiodactyla; Bovidae
Description: long non-coding RNA NONBTAT014808
Source: RNAcentral
AAAGAGUAUGAUUUCUUUAUAUGCAGGGAUAAUGUUACUUUUUUAUAAUGAGAGCCUACAAUGGACCCUGUUUUAGGUGAUCAUAGCUUUUUUUUUUAACUUGGCUCAGAGAUAGGUGAAUUGACAAUUAUUUGAAAGCAUCUCUAACUGACAAGAUAAAGAUGGGUGCAAUCUUUGUGCACCUCCUUGGUCACGACCUCUACUCAGGCGUGGGGCAGGUAAGGGUGUCCUAGGAAGCAGUCCAGAGCUCCUGCAUCAACCUCUUCUCUGGUUUUCCUUUGGUUUGGACAACAUACCAUCAGGGUCUGCUUGGACUGGACAGGUGAACUGAGUCUUCCCCAGAAUCAUGUGACUGGAAUUAUUGAACUGGAAUGCAGAUGUUGAAGAAGCAACUUCUAUAGAAAACUGCUUAUGAUAUUCUUAAGAAAGUUCUAUAUAGAGCUUAAUUCUGGGGGGAAACUGACCUGUUAUUCUUUUCCCCCAUGAUCCACAAAUGUUAGGUGUGUAUUGAAAAGUGUCCUGUCAUUUUACAACCAUCUUGGUUAAGUGGUCGAUCUCUUGCCUAAUUACAUUCUUAUUGCCCUGCCUUUGUUCUUUUAAUCUUUUAUUUUACUAAAAUGAAUUCUUAAAUACUAAAAACAAGAACUUGUGUUAUAUAGAUAUUACUCAAAAAGUACAGUUUUCACUUUUUCAUAUUUUCAAAUGACUGUUCUGUCUUCAAGUCUGUAAGAAAAAAAUUGAAAGAAGUAAUGGUUGAUUUAAAUAUCAGUUAAUGUGCAGUUAAAUAAAUUUGAAUCCAACAC